This 763-nucleotide long non-coding RNA is filed under the name Vigna radiata. RNAcentral's name for it is "long non-coding RNA (VRAD_LNC007854)". The record is from RNAcentral. Lineage: Eukaryota; Viridiplantae; Streptophyta; Magnoliopsida; Fabales; Fabaceae.
CUGUGAUUAGGUUGCUAGUUUCCCUUCACUGCAUUGAUACUUUGUUUUGUUGGACUCCUUGCUCUUCUUUGCUUGGAAGAUAAUCAUGAUGUUUAAGAGUUGGAUUAACUGUGACCGAUUACCAGUGUGAGAUUUGAGCCAUUUGAUGAUCUUUCUUGUGUGUGAUAUGUCUCUAGAUUGCUUGCACAUUUGCCUUGGCUUGACUUUGUUGAUAAUUCUUGAUUCAUGAGCAUGUUUGAAAAUGAUAAAGGCAUUUUGUUGAUUGAGCCUCUCUAGCCAGAUAGCCUACCCUGUUAUGAUCUCUUUGUUAGCCCCCCUUGAGCCUAUACUUCCCCCAUUUCUUUGUUUUGAAGCUCAUACAAUAGCCUAAGUGAAAAACCAUGAUUACUUGAACCUUAGGGAAUUUUGGAGCUUUGGAAUUGUUUUGGGAAUAAGUGUGUUCUCUUAGGAGUUACAGAUGAAUUGGCUAGUGAGUCCUCUUCUUGUGGUUGCAUUGUAAAUAUCAUGUAUCUUGUCUCUUAGAAUUGUGUUAUGAAAAGAGAGAACAGAAAAGAGACAAGAUGAAAAAAAAAAGAAAAAAAUAAAAAAAUACAGAAAAAUGAGGAAAAUUAAAAAAAAAAUUGUGUGAAUAAUGGAGUCAAGAAGAGGAUUGAAUUAAAGGUUUUGGGUGUGAUUUGACUGUGUUUACACUUGUUCCCCAUUGCUCCUCUAUUCCUUUUGGUUUUUAGCUUCUUAUCCAGAUGUAUCCUCCCUUGUCCUUGGC